UUGAAUAUAUAAUAUAUUUCCUUGCAAUACCAUUUGUCAGUGUGUCUAUAGUGUAAGUUAUUGUGUGUAUAUAUGUCUGGCAACUUGUGCAAAAUAUUUUUGACUAUCUGUUGUGGCUAAAACCCGAGUAAUCAUUUUGUGAGGAUUUAAUAUAUUGUGUACUUGUGAUUUUUUUUAACCGCUACCUCAUGUGUUCUCAACAGAAGACCUUUUUGCUGUGUUUCUACCACACCUGAAGAAAGACCUGGAGAGUUUUGUUGAACUUUGAAACAAUCAUCAUCCGAUCCAGACCAAAAACGGCACGACUCCUGAGCAGCUACUGCUACUACAGCACAGGGGAAAGCAGUAUUUAAUCAGCCACAAAAUACUGAGGAGGUGGAUGGUGUGAUGGAGAGAUGGAUGAGAUCAGGGUUCCUCAAACUGAGCUGCAAAUACAAGAUCUCAGGAUCAGACGGCUUCCACAGCACUGUUCUAGAAAAAUAUAAACACAGAAGAAAUAACUUUCAGAACACAUUUACAGCUGCUUUCAUAUACUUUAUGUAUGUGUAAAUAAAAUGUAUUUGCAUGUG
Molecule: long non-coding RNA, 569 nt
Organism: Astyanax mexicanus (Mexican tetra)
Lineage: Eukaryota; Metazoa; Chordata; Actinopteri; Characiformes; Acestrorhamphidae
Exons: 2
Source: RefSeq, a predicted model, not a curated record